This 40870-nucleotide long non-coding RNA is filed under the name Coffea arabica (coffee). RNAcentral describes it as "long non-coding RNA (CARA_LNC000892)". The record is from RNAcentral. Lineage: Eukaryota; Viridiplantae; Streptophyta; Magnoliopsida; Gentianales; Rubiaceae.
CUUUUUUUUUUUUUUUUUUUUUGGCUUAAAUUUGAAAAGAAAAGGACGUAGGAGUGUACCACCUAUCAUUUAAAUGAGUUUAUUAAUCUGUUAGUGAGUAGUAUGUGUUACAUUUGCUUAAUCUGGCUGCUUGAUCCCUUCCUUUAGCUUUGGUUAGUAGUCAACAUUCAUUUUUAAAGGCUUAUACCUCCUUUUGCCCUAAAUUUUUAUUGAUGAUCUGUUCCAUUUGUAUGUUUGCGACUUUAGCCAUAUGGCCUGUGGUUUCACUAACCUAUCCGUGCUGAAUCAUUCUUAUAACAUCUGUCUUCUCGAGUUCUUGAUUUUGACUGCACUCUGUCUCUGACAUGUAUCUUUUAGUUACACGUUUGAUGAAUUACCUGCACUUUCACCCCCCCUCUCUGGAUGUCAUUUCUUGCUUGCUAUUUGUCAUCUUGCGAUUCUUUUAUCCUAAUUUCUUACUUUUUCAUGCUUACCUUCCGUGAUUUGGUAUUUAGGUAAUAGAAGGAGCCUUCAGAUUUACCAUUAUUUUCUCCUUUUUGUUGCCAGAUUUUGGUGAUUCAAGUCCUCUUAACUCUCAAAAUUGAGCUGAGCACUCCACUGAACAUGACUAAUCAAAUGACUGCCAAAAUUCGACUGGUUAGAUGUCCCGGAUGCAGACAGCUUCUUCAAGAACCAGAUAUCCCCGUAUACAAGUGUGGAGGAUGUGGUGCUGUUCUGCAAGGUAAUCAAAUAUUUAUCCACUCCUGUUUACGUAGUUCAUAUUGCCAUCAUAAAAGGACGAACAGAGCUGUUUAUUACAAAAAAAGCAGCUAGCUAAAAGCUGAUACAUUUCUGUGCAUAUGUGAACCCACAAACAUGCAUUUAAUUCUAUGUAGUUGGUUACAUGUAUGUUAUCUGUAUAUUAGGGCUACAAAGGACAUGAGCUUACCUCAUAAAAUGUUCCAGCUUGCAUUGUCCUAGAUCCAAUUGGAAAUGUUUUCAUUUGUACCAUCUAGCAUAAUCAAAUUUUAUGUUCAUGAUGUGAUAAUAUUUCAAGAUGAAAUCAGGGGUUUAUGUUGAGGUGCUAAAAUGUGAUUCAUCCUCAUAUUAUAUACUUAGUAUUGAUCACAAUUAGUUGGAUUUCAUAAGCUAACUAGAUAGGGCAUAUUUUAGUGCUUUCAGUUUGUAGUAAGCAGUAGUAUUUAGAUAUGGUUUCCUGAUAACAAUAUGUGUCCUCAAGCAGCGAAGAAGUUCAAAACUGACACCAAAGACACAAGAUUCAGCAGUGAUGGUACUCAUGUAGAAGGAAAAAGGGAACUGGAUUAUGCACCAGAUCAGAAAGACAUCAGCAGACUUAAUCAUGGAGCAACUAGCUCUGCAGGGGGGUCGUCACCAGAUACAAGCAAUGACAGGAAAGAAGAUCAUUUUUCAGACUGCAAUGCGAAGCAGUUUGGUGACAAAAUUUUUUCUCAUGAGCUUCCUAAUUCACUGCAUCUUACUUCUCGAGAAAAUGGAGAUUUGUCAACAAUCACUGGGGAACAGAUUGAACAAGCUCAAUGUGAUCGUAAUGCAGAACAGGAAACACAUAAUGCAGACCAGGAUAUACACAAGUAUGAAAAUCAGUUCGGUGAUUCCAAUGGGAAGCAGCCUGGUGACAAAAUUUUUUCUCGUGAGUUUCCUAGUUCACUGCGCCUUACUUCUCAACAAAAUGGAGAUUUAUCACCAAGCAUUGGGGGACAGAUAAGGGCACCGAUUGAACAAGCUCAAUGUGAUCAUAAUGCAGAACAGGAAACACAUAAUGCAGACCAGGAUAUACACAAGUAUGAAAAUCAGUUCGGUGAUUCCAAUGGGAAGCAGCCUGGUGACAAAAUUUUUUCUCAUGAGUUUCCUAGUUCACCGUGCCUUAAUUCUCGAGAAAAUGGAGAUUUAUCACCAAGCAUUGGGGGACAGAUAAGGGAACCGAUUGAACAAGCUCAAUGUGAUCAUAAUGCAGUACAGGAAACACAUAAUGCAGACCACGAUACAAACAAGUACGAAAAUCAGUUCAGUGAUUCCAAUGGGAAGCAGCCUGGUGACAAAAUUUUUUCUCAUGGGUUGCCUAAUUCACUAUGCCUUACUUCUCGAGAAAAUGGAGAUUUGUCACCAAGCACUGGGGAACAGAUUGAACAAGAUCAAUGUGAUUAUGACCAGGAUACACAUAAUGCAGACCAGGAUAUGCACAGAUAUGAAAAUCAGUUCGGUGAUUCCAAAAGGAACAGGAGUAGAGGUAGAAGCUCUUCUGAUGGCUUUUAUAGUUCAUUGGAAUUCCCAUGCCAUGAGACAGAUGAUUCAUCGCCAGAACAUCAAGCAAUCAUGGCAUCCGGACUUAGCAAUAGGACGACAGAUAAUCGUGCAAGAAUGGAACAAAUGGCACGUGAAGAUUGCAACCAGGAGCAGGACAAGGAUACCAACCUCCUCAGUAAAGUUUCUUUACUGACAGAAGGUAAGCUUGAUGAGAAUGAUUGUUCUCCAAAAGGUAAUGCAUUGGAAGAAAGGGAUCAAAGUAAAUGUGUCAUGCAACAUGUUGACAAAGAAUGCAACUUUGAAGGUCACAGUAAGGAGUUUCCAAAAAAUGACAGUGCCUCCCUGGAAAUUUCUUCAUCUGCUGUGAGUGUCCCUGAAAAAAUAUCAGCAUUAAUAGAAGCAAACUCAGAAGUGCAAGACAACUUAGGUGGUCACGUCCUUGGUAGCUUUGAUACAGAAGAUUUGUUGGAUGGCAAGGAAACUGAUGCAAGUGACACUGAUGAAAAUCCCCUGGAUCAGACUAUUCCAUUGUACAAUGUUGACUCUCCUGGUGAUCAACACCUUGGAGCCUCUCAGAGAAUUUCCCAACAUGCAAGCUCUGAGGACGUUUUGGAUAAUCUGCCACUAGUCAAUUUGAGCUCUGAGCUUGGGCGGAAGAAUAUAAAUUUGUCCAAGUCUCCAACCAAAAGCUACUAUGGUGAUGAUGGUAGUGCAUCUUCUUAUGAUGGGUUUGAGAACCGGUUCCCUGGCCGGUUCUCAAAACCCCCCAAAAGAAAGUUAAAGCAAAACAUGAACAACUCCAGUAGGUUGCAAAGGGAAUUUGGACCUUCAGCAAAUGAUGUUCUGAGCAGCAACCUUGGGAUGCAAGACCAAGCAAUUCUUGGACCUGGGUCAGAGGUACAGAACCUGGCAAGGAAGUCCUCAAUAUUGCCAGAGAAGAAUCAUUCUACCAUGAAAUACAAAAUUCACCAGGAUGGUUUGCAUGACCCCAGAAGUUACCGCCAUUCUAGUGGAAGUAGAAUAAGAGAGGACAAUGAUGAGCAUGUUUCUAAGCUUCCAUCCAUUCCAAGGUACCCUUUGAAUGGCCAUAGAAAAGGGAAUUUAUCGCAUCAUCCAUUCAGUGUUUUCCAGCAUCAAUCAGAUUUGUGUGCAGCCAAUGCACCAUCUUACACUGAACCAGACAAACUGGAGCUGUUAAGAAUGGUACAUGAACUGAAAGAUGAGCUCAACAGAAUGCAUAUAUCAAACAGUAGGUUUCCUUCUUCAGUUAUCAGGGAGGACAAGUAUAAUCCAUUGUUUUACAAUCAUCGCUUGGCACCUUUGGAGGGAAUAUCUGCUGAUUUACAGUAUUCCAAAUAUCCUGGAAGGUUUAGUCAAUGGAAAGGCUUGCCCCAGUUUCAUAGAGUCCCAAGAGUGGCUUUUUCAGGAGAUGCUGCAGAUUACAGGCGCCAAAUUGAAUGUGCAUAUUUGCACCAUCAUCCUCAUGACUGGCAAUGCUCAGUACAGUUACCUUCACAUUCAUUAGGCUGUAAUAAAGUCCACUGUAUGUCCCAUGGCAGUACAUGUUACAAUGGCCAGUGUUCCACAUCCUCAAGUCCUCAGCAUUAUAAUAGCUCUGAGUUCUCUGUUUGGGAUCGACAGACCAAGUCUGAUGAGCAGUGGCAUAGAGAUAAUGAGACUCAAAAAUUCCAUUUGCGAGAGAGAUAUCACUUGGCAAAGCGACAUGUUAGGCCUGUAGCUGGUGGAACCCCUAUUGUUGCAUGUUAUCAUUGCUCUGAAUUGCUUCAGCUGCCUGCAGAUUUUCUCCUCUCAGGAAGGCGGCGCCAUAAGUUAAGAUGCAAUACUUGCAGAAAGAUUAUGAAGUUUUCACUUCAGAGCAGCACGCAUCUAGUACCACACAUUGCUGAUGCUGUAGCCCCUCCUCCCAGUGUGGUCGAUGAUGACUCCAGUGGAUCCAUUCGUCAAAGGAACUGGGCAUCCACCUCUCAAUCCAAUGACGCUCCAUAUGCUGAACCUCUUUCAUGUACUGAUGAUUACGGAAUAUCCUUUGACAGAAGUUUCUCCACUGAAGGUGAGCCCUCACUAAUCACACCCCCAAUUCAUCCUGUUGAAAGAAGUUGUCGAACUAGAGACAUGUCAUCUGGUAAUUCUGUCGUGCCCUUGGAUGAUAGAAAGAUGAAGUCCACAGUGGGCGAGUGUCAGAAGCUGCACACCAACUCCGUGGAGAGCCUUGAACCAGUGGGACCUUCGCUCAAGAGAUCCAAGUGGCGAAAGUCAUCCUCAGGAAUCAGGCAACUUCCACCGUCAGGAGGAUCUCCACUGCAUCGGCUUAUGGGUUAUUCGUCGCCAAGUGCUGUUAUGAAAGUCUAACGCAUCAAUCAUUUGAAGAAGAAAACAUGAUCCAAAAGGUCACCUCAGCUUUCUGGCGAGAGAAAAAGAAGUUUGAAGCUCUUCUAGUUCUAGCUAUAUUAAGAUAAAAGGACAGUUUUGGAAGAAGAGUGUCUACUUGACUCGAAGAUUCUCGAGAUAUGCUAAACAUAUAUAGUCCAACAUCACAAGUCAUUAAACAUAUAUUGCUUGUACUGUAUAGUGAUCAGAAGGAUAGAAAUUGCCCUGGUGAUAGUGUAUAGAAUGCAGAUCAAGUGUUGUAUGUAUAGAUUCACUAUGCUGUCAAACGAUUUUUUUAUUGAUUUGUUUCGAUAAUAUUGGGUUUGCAUAAACGGCUUAAUUCUCAGACUCUCGUCACCCACGCUAGAUAGAUUUUUUUACCAACUUAUAGAGAGGCGUUUCGCAUCAAUUAUCUAUAUGUUAUUGUGUACUUGAGUGGAAACUAUGCUCUGUAUCUGGCUAUGGUAUUUCAACAAGCAUGGAGCUGUAAAAGCCAUGCAUGCAUGCAAGGAUUUUGCCAGAAGAAAGGCAUCUGCAGAUGUUCUGGUUUUGAAGGAGGCAGAGGGGAAACAGGUAUUUGGGAUUAAAAUUGGUCAAUGGUGCUGUUUCAUGUAUCGUCGGAGGAAUAGAGUAGCCAGAUCCUAGUGGAAACGAUAAUCAAAUCCUGGAAUCAUGGUGUCAAUUGUAGGUCCUGUACACAUACAAUUGUAGUAAAAUGUUGAACCCGAGAGCGGAAUCGUCGCCAAAGGUUAUUGCCUUUAAAGACCGCUGCUGUUAACCGUCAGCAGAUAUCUGUUGAAGCUUGAUUGCAUUUUUCCUCCUCGAAAUCCCAUAAGCAACAAAAGUUUCUCAAAAUAUUGGAUGUUCACAAAUAUUUCGUUGUCGUGCUUGUCUGGAUUAGUCUUUUUAUCCAAAAGAGUUGGAUGGCACAGCUUCUCAUCAUCCCAGAAUUCAUCAACGUUUGGAACUUUUUAAGCUAUUACACCCAAUGUUACCCUAGUAAAAGCACGACAUUUUGUUGAUGGUGGGAAAAGAAGCAGGCAGGCACGGUAACUACAGGCACCCAGUUGGAAGAACACAUAAACCGAGGGAUGAAGAGAAAUUUCCACCGGGAAGGACAUGGAUCUUUUGCUGUAGAUCAAACGUACAACAGACAAAUCUUUGGAACAGACCACCAUAUCGAUUGGCACAAAGUUUGGAUAUGGAAAUUAAAGUUACUGUGUUCUGAUAAGUGGCAACAUUAUAUGGGCACGGACAACCUUCUGCAUUUCACGUCUCAUGCAUCGUUACAAUUACUCAACUGAAAUUGGUCGAGGCAUCUACACCGCCAAAAAUAUUCUGUUUCAGCCAGGUUUCUUUAUGGCAAUCAGGUAUAAUUUCUUUUGUUCUAUUUGUACAACAAGCCGAUGAUUCUCUUGUAUGAUAUCUGCAAUUUAUUUUCAGUGACAAGAGAGGGGCCGCUAGUAGAUACGCCUGCUUCUUUGAUUUGGGACAAUGGUGAUCCUCUGAUCCCGAAGCAUGUCCAAAUUGGGAGCCAACAACCUAGUAUACCGGUCGAAGUAAAGAAGCUGCUUCAUUAGGAGUGCAAACUCCCGAGGAAAUCUCAAUCCAUAUGAUUCACUAACUCGAACCUAUUGGACAAAGAAAACACAAGUCAGAUACUUAGGAUUUGAGGAAGCAGGCAAGCUGAUGCAAAAGAAAUUUCUGGUAUUUAGACUUCAUUUGGUAUGUAAGCAGGCGGCGGGGGACAUUAUUUGCAUAGGUGGGAGGGUAUUUAACUACGUUACUCUUUGUCUGGUAUAAUGAAGGUAGAUGAAAGUGCAGUUAGGGAACUGAGAAAUAUACACUAAAUAAAAGGAAAUUUCUGCACUUUUUUCCCCACAAUUUUUCUCAGUUUAGAGUGAAGCACAAAGGUCAAUUUGGUUUCAUCAAAUCCAACUCCAUUCAAGGAGAAAAAAACUGGGUCAGUAGGAGUUUUUAACAACUUUCCCUUUCACUUCAGUUUUCCCCUUUAGUAUAGAAACGUUAGACAUUUUCAUCCUCUCAUUUUUUAGACGCAACACAGCACACAGUGACGUUCUAUUGGUAGGCAAGCAAAUAUCACCCACUCCAGCUCUAAAGGAGGAAGACGUCUAGCCACAUCAAUUACUCUAGCAACUACCUAAUGCCAUCUCAGUCACUAUAAGAGCGAUUGAGACCUCAUAUUCCAACUUGUAGGUUCAUCAUCUGUCUUUGUGCAAUUGGGGCCUCGUUCUGCAAGAUUUACAAGCCUAAGGCAAGUCGCUGCGCUAUGAGAUGACAGAAUUGAAGGUUGAUACUUACCAAAUCAAGAAAUAGAGCAUUCAUUUGCCUCUCAUCUACAAUUACAUUUGCAGCGACAGCUGUUGUGCUUGUAUUUGGACCCCUGGCAGUUGCAACAACAAUUUCUGUAUCCAAAUCCUGCACCAGAAUAUGGGAAACUAUAAUCAGAAAAUGAUGAUCUGAUUUGAAGUAAUAUUACAUCAAAAUCAUGACAUACUAAAUGCCUUGUAGCAUCAAUACUAGUGGAUCCUUAGCAUAGUCAUCCUUCAGAGCUAACAUCAAAGCAAAAUAUUGUCUUCACAAGUUAAAUUCUUAAAACAUAGCUCAAGUAUGCACAGCAACUAUACAGAAGAAUAGUCAUUCAGUACUCUUCAGACUAAAAAACAUGUAAUUUCUUCUCUUCUUACACAUAUGAUUCUGAUUUAACCUAAUAAACACAAUGGUAUUAUUUAUAUCAAAGUUUCAGGCUGUCCAUCAAGAUCUCGCCAUCAUGGUCCACGAGUAGUAACCUGCAUGGACUUGAGGACAAAAAUAUACUAAGCACAGAUAUACUUCUCAGGCUGCAUAGAUUUUUUUUUUUGGGGGGUUGGGGAUUUUUUUUGUUUUGUUUUUUGGGGGGUUGGGGGGGGGGGCAGGGAUUUGUGGGGGGUGUCUUACACUUUGACAAGAGACAAGUGUAGCUGUGGCCACAUGCAAUAUAUACCUGUAUUGAAGAAAAUAUCUUUUCAAGAUCUCUUGCAAAGGCCAUUGAAUCAACACCCUUGUUUGUAGCAUCCAUGUCAAUCAAGGCCGAUGCCAUUGAGUUGUAAUCUUCAGUUGCCAAUGAUUGCAAGAAUAUUUCCAUAGCAGCCCAUGUCUUUGGAGAUAUGCGCCCAACAAUUCCUGUACAGCACCAUCCAUUUUGUUUCAUGACUCAUAAGUUGCAAAGGAAAGAUGAUACAUGAUGAUUCAGGAAAGUAAUAAUUUAACUGAACAUAAGCAAAUAAGAAGGUAAAAGGUUUUCUGGGAAGAGCAGAAUUUGUGAACUAAUAACCAAGUGUGUGUAACAUUCUCAGAACUUGAAGCAAAUUUCUGAGAUAAAUUAAACAAGACGCCGUCAGGCUAAAGUAUUCUGAUUUGUGUAGGAUAAGCCUUUGUUUUAUACAACAUGAAAGACAGUUAAACAGUGGCCCAUAAACAGUAAACUGAAAAUGUGAUAACAAUCCUAUUGAUGGGCAGAUCUCCUUGCUUUUAUAACUGAUUUCUCUAGACCUUAAAACUAAAGAUAUUGAACAUUUGACCCAACACGCAGGCACGAGACACCCAUUUUUAGCAUCACCAAUGCAAAUUCUCCAGAUGAGCAUGCGGUCAAGGAGAAGAGGGGCAAGCCUGGAGGGGGAAGGGAGAGGGACAGUAGGGUUGUAUGAGCUAUAAUACAUGAAUAAAACAACUAUUGAGAAGAAAAAAGUUACAGAAGCAAUAAGAUCUUCCAAUAAUCUUAAGCCAAAAUAUUUGAAAACUUGUAUCCCCUAAAAAAAUCCAUUCAUUGCCAACAAGAGUGAGAGUCACCAAGCAUUUUAAAGAAAAAGAGGAAAGUAUGCAGGAUCAUGAAAAAUGAUAGAUGUGCAACAAAGGAGACAGAGAAACAAACAAAACUGAAAGAUGGAGAAUUCAUGUAUACCAAAGUCAAGAAACCCAAUACGACCAUCACGCAGCAACCACAAGUUGCCUGCAUGGACAUCAGCAUGAAAGGUUUCACAGGCAAGCAGACUCCCAAACCUAAAGAGUCAUGCACAACAAAACUUCAGGAUAUAAAUUUGAUACCAAAAAUAACUGACAUGUGCCAGCAGAUGAAUUACACUUGUGACAAAGUCGUACCACACAUUUAAGGCAGUAAUAAGACUGGCUUCUGGACUUGGAACAAGGGCACUGAUGGAAUCCAAAUCUGUAAGAGGGACUCCAUAAAGCCUCUCCAUUGUUAGAACUCGUCUGGUACUGUAUUGCGGGUAUACUUUUGGAGCAGUAGCCUGUCUUGUAAGACCCAUAGCCUCUAAAUAUCGUCUAAAAGACUCAAUAUUUGCAGCCUCUUUCUUAAAGUCAACCUCAUCAAGCAUUGAUUCCCUUAUAUCUUUGACAAUAGCAACCUAAAACAGAAACAUAUGUUCAAGCAUAACGAAAUGCCACUGUCCUCCUUUCACACUUAACAGGAAAAGUUAAACAAAGAAUGGAGAGAGAAAAUUUCCACUCACACACAGUUAAUGAGUUUAUGCUGGCAUAUAAUCUGUUUUCGACAGAGUUUAUGACCUCAGAAGUAAAUUAUUAGCAUACUGAAAGGCCUGUAAAAACAAAACCUUCACAUACGUAUCCCUUACAUUAUAAUUAAGCUCCUGAAAAAAGUCAAACAAUCAUCUGGAAAAAAUCAAGUUGCCAAAGGACAAAAAGUGUUGGCACAAGACAUGAUUAUAUUUUGGUUUGUAAUUAUACAUUUAGGGUGUAUUUGUAAGUCAAAGAGGUGAUUUUUGACUAUGCCAACAUUUGCAUUUAAAUACUUGACUAUUAAGAACUAUCCAAUGACUUUCUACUACAAAGGUAAGUAGUAGCUAAGUAUAUUGCAAGACGUAUGUUUUAGCAGUUUCAAGGAAAUAAGUUUUGCCCCAUUCAGUGGAAUUUUGCAAUGAUGAAAAGAUCAUACCAGAGAUGCACGGUUCAGUUCAGGACUCAAAAACUCCAAGAUGCGCGCUACAAUAUAAACAAAAUUUAGGUCUGCCACUAAUGUGUCUUCAAUUCCAGGUUUCAACACCUUUAUCACUACAUCUUCCUGUGUGCCUCUUAUCCUUGCACCAUGGACCUGAGAGUUAAAGUACACAGUUAAAAGGGUGAGUGACAGUCAAUGAUCAAGCUCUUAAGACUUUACUAUUAAAUAUUAUCAAGAUGAAGCAUGGAAAGGGAGUAGACCUGUGCUAUAGAAGCAGAGGCAAGUGGGGUAGGAUCAACAUACUCAAAGAUCGCAUCGAUUGGUUGGCCUAAUUCCUCACGCAAGAUUGCUUGAAUAUCUGCAAAAGGAACUGCAGGUACUCUGUCAAAACAGUACUGGAAUUCCUGUACGUAUUGCGGUGGGAAUAAUGUUGGUGAAGAAGCAAUGAACUACAAAAUGCAAGAAAAACAGUACAUGAGUGAUUGUAUAAUGUGGUGGAUGUAUGCAUAACUGAUUGUAUAAUUUUAAAGGUAUAGAUAAAUGAGAGAACCCAUAAAGAAAAAGCAAAUAAUAAUGGAACCACAAGUAAAUGUAUACAAAUUCAAGCAUUACAACAAAAUCAUCCUGAAAUGAAAAAGGCACAAAAAGCAAACUUCAAAAUUACAAAACAUAAAAAGAACUGGGUGAGCAUUACUAUUUACUUACUUGACCAAGUUUGAUGUAGGUUGCACCCAUUCGUUCAAAUAAUCUUCUCAAAUACAGGGGAGACAACAAUCCAAGCUGCAUCUCAGUUGGUAAUGUGGUGGAUGAGUUUGCUGUCUAGACAAAAUUACCCAGAAUUACUUUUCAAUGAAAUUCCUUGUUCAUUUACUAUGCAAAAUCCUGGGGAAAAAAUAAAGAGAAGAAGAGGGAAGAAGGGGAAGGUAAGAGAGAAGAAAGAAAGACAUCAAACCAGUUACCAGAAAAUCUAAAGAUGUAACCAAUUAUAACAAAGAUAUAGAACUGCCUGUACCUUUGACAAAUCUGCCAGCCACUCGCUUCCUACUCCAAGAACUGCUUGAAUGCCUUGAGCUAGCCUUAGGGCUCCACGUGGACCAGUGCUUAAGGAUGUCUGGACAAUAUCCUCUACCAGUUUGGGCAACUUUUCAAUGCGAUCUGUGGAAGUUCAUGCUUAAUAGCACUAUGCAACCAACUAAAGUAAGACUAAUACAAGAAUACAUUUUUAAAUAGUUGCGCACACACAUUUACAUACUUUCCCUCCCUCUCCCCAUCCCCCUUCACCACCGUGUGGAGAGACAAAAUUCUGACAGGAAAACGAACAGCGGAAGAGAAAAGGUCUAUUGAUGGGGGUUCUAAGUUAAAGAGAACUGUAUAAUAGUAGUGCCAUUUCAGCAAUAAGCAUCAAUCCAAAUACUAAAAAAUCUUAAACAGGAUUCAUUUCCUCUUCUAAUCCCUUUGUCUAAUGAACUCUGGAGUCAAAUUAAGAUACAAUUCAUACAGGAUUCUCUUAAUUGGUGUGUUUUAAAGGAAAGAAAGAAUAAGAAGGAAAAAAAAGCUCAGAAUAGAAACUAAACAGAAAUAAGAUAAAAAUAAGGCGUGUUUCUGUAUCUUAAUUUUCUUUCUUCCUUUCUUUUUUCUGAUUUGAAUUUGUGAUUCAUAUCUCGUGCGGAAGGCCAACAUUUCACCAGGUAAAAUCAACUUUGACACAAAGUACUAACACCCAACAAAAAAUCAAGCUCCUCCCAGAGCACACUUCCGUCCCAAGUCUCAACCCGGAGCCUGAAUAGGAUUGAGCAGGAAUUUCUCAGACACUCGAAAUGCACUAAAAAUUUUCACUCAAACUAAUUAUGCAUCCAGAAUCAAAAUGGGUAAAUUCCCAGAUAAAAUUAUUUUCUUGAAUUCCACUGGCAAUCUGAUUCUACAACUAAAUUAACAGAAUUAAACUUAAAUAUAGGAAUCAAAUUUUUACAUAGAGAAAACAAUAAAGUGGGGAUGCAGACAUGGAGCCAAUAUACGAUAAAAGUUUGGGCAACCUUGAACACGAGAAGUGAAAAUAUCUCGGGACUGAGAGUAUCGAGCAUAAAAGGAGGAUCUUUUAGAAAGAAAUUGAAGCUUUCUCGCUGCUGUUGAUCUGCUUCUGCUUGACACGGUUACUGGCGCUAACUGUAAUCAAGAUUUAAAAUUCUUAUUAGCAUAUGAAAUUGGACAACAUAACGUCCACCAGUAAAGAGAAAGAAAGCAUAAAUAAAACUUGGACUAAUAAGAAGAAACCUGCCGCGACUGGUGAUGAAAGAUAGACAAGCAGCCAUCAUUAACCAUCCCUCUCAUCAAUGAAACACCCGCCAUUUUUUAUUUUCCCACGUCUCCUUUCUCAGUUCACAACUUGAGCUUUGAACCCAAAUUCACUCCACCACCCCCACCAUCCACUCCACCACUAAUAUUUCCAAGUUCAAUCGUCUUGUGUACCUCAACCCUCUCUUACGCCUUUAGGAGUUUUUCUUUCUUUCUUUCUUAUUUCUUAAUAGAUUGGCUCCAGAUAUUCCUUUUUUUUUCUAAGGAGACUGACUUUGUCCCGUCCGGCCCAAUUAGCGUGCGCAUUUUCAUUACACAUGUUAACUUGACAAAUAGGAAUGCAGCCCAUUAGAAUAGGCAGAACAUACUUUUCAUCUUCUUACGGAGGUGUGACUUUCAGUUUCAGACACCGUUAAAAAUACUUAUUUGGGGGUAAAAUAUCACCAAUCUCUACAAUCAAUUUGUUGAAUCACUUAUUGGCUUUGGCCUUAAUUUAGAGAAAUGAAGUUGGAUGCAGUUUGAUAACCUCAUUCAAGACUUAAAUUUAAUGAAUUUAAUGAACUCAGAUUUUAACAUGUUCAGAUCCAUUUGAUAAUAAAAAAUUGAACAUCUCUGCCACUGAAUUUUUUAGGCAAAAUUUGCACUUAAAAUUAAGUGAUAAACUAUUUACUUAUCACUGAAUAUGAUAUACAGUCAAAUAUAUUAGAUUCAAUACUUAACAAUUUAAUAACUUAAUAAAUUUAAAGUUCAGACUUCAGAUUUCAAUUUUAUCAAGAUUUCAAUAUUAGAUUCAAUACUUAACAAUUUAAUAACUUAAUAAAUUUAAAGUUCAGACUUCAGAUUUCAAUUUUAUCAAACGCUCCAAGAUUUGUGAACCACACGUGCCUUCUUCGGGCCAACCAAUGUAAGGAUUUGUUUAAGAUUUUUUGAUACUCGGGUGACUAAAUCGGCUGAACUUAUAGAGCAUUAUGGGCCUGUUUGGCACCCUAGUUUUUUACCAAGUUUUUUAGCUACUAGUUUUUUAACAACUUUUGCUACAGGAACCCCAAAAAACUUUUCAAAGUUUUUUACCUACACAAUUCAAAAAUCUAUACACAAAAAAUUUCUCAAAAACUUUUCUUCCUCCCUCACCCAACCCACCACACAAGACACCGCCUCCACCACCUCUCCCGGCGCCGAUCACCUAUUCCGGCGCCGCCGGUAACCUCAAAAUUUUUUUUUUUUCAAUUUUUGGUCCCUCACCCUCAAAAUUUUAUUAUAUAUAUUAUAUAUUUAUAAUAUUAUAUAUUUAUAUAUUUAUUUAAACAUAUUAUAAAUAUUUUAUUUUAUUUAAAAUAUAUUUAUAUAAAUAUUAUAUACCAUAUAAAUUAAUAUUAAUAUAAAUAUGUAAUUAUACAUUUAUAUAAAUAUUAUAUAUUAUAUUUUUAAUAUAUAUAAUACAUAUUAUAUAUAUUACACAUUUAUGUAUAUAUAUUUAUGUAUAUUUAUAUACAAUUAUAUUAUGUAUUAUGUAUAACAUAAUACAUUUAUACAUAAUAUUAACACACAAUAUUAAUUAUAUAUUUAUACAUAAUACUAAUACAUUUAUACAUUUAUAUUAAUUAUAUUAAUACAUUUAUACAUAAUAUUAUAUAUUUAUAUAUUUAUAAUAUAUUAAUUAAUAUAUUUAUAUAAUAUUCAUUUAUAAUAAUAUACAAUUAUUACAUUUGUAAAUAUAUUUAUAUUAUGUAUUAUAUAUAAUACAUUUAUAAUAUUUAUAAUAUAAUACAUUUAUAUUGUAAAUAUAUUAUAUAUUAUGUAUUAUAUUAUGUAUUUAUAUUUGUAAAUAUAUUUAUAAUAUAAUACAUUUAUAUAUUUUUAUAUAACUAUAUAAAUAUAUUUAUUUAUAAAUGUAUUAUAAAUGCAUAAAUAUAUAUAAAUAUUUAAACAAUAAAAAUUAUAAAUUAUAAACAAUAUUAAUUAUACAUUUAUACAUAAUAUUAAUACAUUUAUACAUUUAUAUUAAUUAUAUUAAUAUAGUUAUACAUAAUCAUCAUAUAUAUUUAUAAAUUAUAGUUUAUACAUUUAUAUAAUAUUCAUUUAUAAUAUAUACAUUUAUACAUUUAUAAAUAUAUGUAUAUUAUGUAUUAUAUAUAAUAUAAUACAUUUAUAUAUUUUUAUAUAAAUAUAUUUAUUUAUAAAUACUUAUAAAUGUAUUAUGAAUGCAUAAAUGCAUAUAAAUAUUUAAACAAUAAAAAUUAUAAAUUAUAAACAAUAUUAAUUAUACAUUUAUACAUAAUAUUAAUACAUUUAUACAUUUAUAUUAAUUAUAUUAAUACAUUUAUACAUAAUCAUGAUAUACAUUUCUAAAUUAUAAUUUAUACAUUUAUAUAAUAUUCAUUUAUAGUUUAUACAUUUAUAUUAAUUAUACAUUUAUACAUUUAUACAUUUAUAAAUAUAUGUAUAUUACGUAUUAUAUAUAAUAUAAUACAUUUAUAUAUUUUUAUAUAAAUAUAUAAAUAUAUUUAUUUCUAAAUAUUUAUAAAUGUAUUAUAAAUGCAUAAAUGUUUAAAAAUAUAAAAAUAUAAAAAUUAUAAAUUAUAAAAUACUCAAAAAUAUGUUUUAAAAAUACUUCUAAAAAUAAUCCAAAAAACGUCUACAGUAACAUUUCAAAAACUUCUACAAAAAAGUUUUUCACCUUACAAAAAUUUCUACAAAAUUUUUUCAAAAACUUCUACAGUGCACUACAGUAAAAUUUUAGACAAAUUCUCAAAAAACUCAAGUUCCAAACAGGCCCUAUAUUUUGUCGCGAGGAGCUUGCUAUUUUUAAAAAGCAGGCUAAUUUUAUUGUAGCAGUUCAAUGGUACAAGAAGAAGAAAAUAGCUUAUUUUCAAGAAAAUUGGAAUGAAAAGACCGCUUCAGAUUUCUUUGUAUUUUACCUCAUUUUUCCUCCGCUUACAUGUACACCAUUCAUUUUUUUGACUGUCACGCAGAGACGUACAAGAAACAGCAGAUGACUAGCUAGAAUCCCACAGUAGCCUUUCAUGAACUGCAAAUAAUCCUCACUUGAUAGAGGGCGCAACACCUCAAAGAUUAUCCUACCAUGAUGGUACACCACAAAAUGAGUCCAAUUUUAACCAUAAUGUAUGAUGAUUUACUGCCGUCUUAAAGUCUCAAAUGUGGGAAAGUAAGCCCUAAAACAUAUAGCAGACAUUGCAAAAUUUCGCAUUGCUCUGAACUUGGUGAAGCUUCAACCAUGAAGCAGCAUCACAGGACAGAAGUACGUCUUUCUUCUAUUCUUACAAGAAGUUUUCCGGUCAUCUCUUGAGAUCCAUGCAUAAUAAAUAGGAAAAAGUAUGCAUCAGGCCUCGGAAUCAGGAUCUGAAGCUGACUCUGUAUCUGAAUGUGAUUGGAAAGGUCUCAAUCUGUUUGUAUUGGCUUCUAAAGGUGGAAGUCCAUCAUCAUCACUUGAAUUGUCAUUCUCCUCCAUAUUUGAAGUGUGCGACUGCAAAUCCUGCUUCGAAUUUCCUAAAGUUGCUGCUUUAAAUACUUCUGGCCUGCACAGUUACAAGCAAUAAUCACCAAGCAUAAUAAUUACAUAAGCAUCAAGAUCCUUCUUAUUGAGCGUGCAUGUGAGCAGGCGCGUGAAUGUUGUACCCAGAAAGUCAGUUUAGCCCUCAGGUUCCGAGCAGGAGGGGUGGCCUUAAAGAUGUAAUCAAACAAAUAACAGCAGCCCUUCCAGGAUUACAUACUAAGAAAGUUGGAGCUAGAACACCAUGGUGCAUCUAUUUACACUACUAAGCUCCUAAUCAGGAGCACUUUUAUCCAGCCAUAGAAACUACAACUAAUUUGAUAAUACUCAGAAUAAACUGGCUUAAACCCCCCACCCCCCCAACACAAAAAAAAAGGAACGUGAAACAAUCACAUCAAAGAUAUUGAUCUCUAACUUUGUCACCUUUGCCACACCUCCUGGAAGUUUGGUAUAAAUGUCCACGAGGCAGAUAUUCAUAGGAACAGAAGUCCCUUGCUAUUAAGUAAUAUCUCCAGCCAGUAUUGAAAAAACAAAUCAUUAGGUUCUCAGACUAUUUUAGAAAUUUAUCUUGCAAAGGCAUGGCGCAAAACAUUAAAAAACAAGAGAAAACAAAACAAACAUAAACUCAAACUACGCACCAUUCAGGAGAUUUUUGGAGCACUCGUACUCGUUCAUAAAAGAGCACUUGUAUAACAACGCAACCUACUUUCCGACCAAAUUCAGCUGCUUCCUCCCUUCCAGUCUCGUCAACCACCACAAAGUUCCCUAUAUAUCAAUUUUUCACGCAAAAGAAAAUAAGAACUUGAUCAAAGUCUCAACUUUAAUCAUGCUAGAAAUCCCCACUUCAAAGGAAAAUUUAAAAGAACAAACCUCGUUUUAUCCACAUGCUCUUUUGAAAUUUUGCUGGAAAUAUAGCUAACGAUCUUUCCCCUUUUGCAUCCAUUACCUUUUGAUACAUUCAAAACUGAAUUAACAACCACUAAAUAUCUAUUAAUCUGCAAAAAUCACUAACCUAUAGUUACAUCACUCAUAGAAGCUUCAUUGUCAAGCCUUACUACAUGAAAAACUUCGGCUAUGCCCAUCUGUAGAUGUAUGGUUCGUACGGUUCGGUACAGGUGGGACAAUGCUUGUGAUCAAUUCUAAUCGGAACAAUUUUCAGAGUACAGCAGUAUGCGAUGCUGCUUCUGUUAUGAAUGACGCAACUAAAACAAAUUAUCCAACUUGUUAAUUAAAUGUGGCCCUGAAUGUAAAGGACAUAUUACCUCAAUAAGAUUGGAGCCCCGCAGGUCCACAACUUGCAUGAUGCUUUGCCCUUGUUGAAGCGUUAAGGUCUCUUCCUCAACAGCCCUCUUCAAAUUUUUCCGUCCACCUCCCAUGACCUUUCUUCACUCUAUUACUUUCUCAAGCUGAAACCAACAGGACCAAAACCACAUGCAAGCAGAAGCAAUUCCUCAAAUGCCAGUCUUUCAGCAAGCCUUCAUCAAUUCCACAGUUCUGGAGAGGCAAGACUCGUAUUUAAAACACCCUGAAAUGUGAACAACAACCAAUUUUUAGCAAAAUGGAAAAAUAAAUUGUUUAUAUGCAAAAUGGAAACAAAUGAGAAAAAAAGAAGGUUAUAAAAUGUUACACAAAAAUAAUCACCAAGUUUUUAGCCAAAGAUAUUGUGCUAAAAUUUGAAUAGACUGUGAAUUCAAAACAACCAAAAAAUACACCAAGCAAUUUUCCCAUACAUAAUAGAAAAUUACAUAAGUUAGUAUAGAUGUCGUAGAAGGUCGGAAAAAAAAAAGACAAAUAAGUAUCACGAGAACUAUUAAAAAUGCGUGCAAAAAAUAAAAGAUAAUAGUGAAAACCCGAGAUCUGGAAGAAUGAAACUCAAAGAAGCAAAAUGACAUACAAUUUUUCUUGGUAAUGAUCUUCUCUUGACAGCCUCUGUCUCCUAAGAAAGCAUGAACAGAAAAUCAGGCAUAGUAUAUGUGAAAUUUUAGAUGGUAACUAAGAGAAAACGUUGAGGAAAAAAAUCAAGAAAUAUUGAAAGGAAAUAAAUCUAAGAGGCAAUAAAGAACCUGAAGUUUGGAGUUAGAUUCUUCAAACGUCCUUGUUUUUGGAUUCAAUUCUUUCAACCGUACUCUUUGUUCGGGAGAGCGAGGAGGGAUUGACGAGAGAAGCAGACGGCGGCCCUGUGAAAUUUGGAGAAGAAGAUGUUGCGAUGGGGUUUCUGGUAGGGGUGAGCAUUCGGUGCAAAUGCGGUAAAUCAGUGCGCUGAAUUCGGUUUUUUCGGUUAUCGCACCUAUAGAAAUCUAAACCAUUUUCAAUUUCGAAUUGGGCAUUACUGAAUUCAUGCGGUACCCGAUUUCAAAUUCGAAAACGGUAAUGAAUUCGGUCUAACCGAAUUCAUCUAUUAUUUAAAAAAAAACCUGAAGCAAAUUAAGAGAAUAUAUAAAACCAAUCUUUAUAGUUCAGCAACUACCAACCCCCGCAAGCCAUUAGAUGUUUCUCUUUUACACAUUGCAGAAAAUUCAUAUCCAGAAUCCUAGGUACAACUUCUGGAGCCGUACUUUCACUAGAUGUGCACCAGAGAUUGAGAAUCUCCACGGACAAGGAGGUAAAAUUUUCAUUUUAACAAGUUUUUUCCUUUUUAAUUUUUCUAACAGGUAAAAGGUGGAAUUUUUCCCAAAGGCCUUAACUUUUAAAGGCUGCACAACUGGAGAGAGCUUCUUGUGUAUAAAAUACAAAGCUUAUGUUAUAUCACACCUAAUCUAAACUACUACAACAGUUAGAGUUUGCAAUUGGAAGCUCAGAUUUCGUCCCCUUAUCAAUUCAGGAUAACAAAUUUCCUAGUCGAUCUUGGCCCAUUUUAAUGCCAGAGACACAGAGCCAAAAACAGAGGAGCACUUACCUAAGUGAGCCAGAGAUGAGCAGUGAUGAACCAGCGAUGAACUAGUGAGAUCUUGGUGCUUCGUCUUCGACACUCGGCAGAGAUGAACCAGCACGGCAGGACACAGCCGACACGAGACGUAGAGCGCGGCGGACUGGCGGAGGCCGGAGAGGCAGAGAGCAGCUUCGAUUUGGGAAUUGGGACUUGGGACUUGGGACUUGGGAGUGUUAGUGCUGUGAAAGCCCUACGUGAUGGCAGUCACGGCACUAUGCAAUAUUGCAAAUUUGCAAUGGUUGUUUUCUCACUUUUCAAUUUUCAUUGGCUGAAGAUGAAAUCCGACUUUUCCCAAAUGAAGUGAUUUUGUAAUUUUUAAUUUACAAAUUGGGGCUCCUAAAUUAUAAUACAUUCAUUAUGCUCCUCAAUGAUUUAAAAAUUAUUACUGAUUUGAUCCCCAAAUUUAUUCAUAAUUGAACACAUUACUUAUGUUCAAAUCAUUUUGUGGUUUAAUUGGCAUUUAUUUGAUCACUUAUACCUAAAAUCCUUGGUAUAUGAUUUAAGAAACACAUAAAAAGUGAUUAAUUUAAACUAAUUUAGUUAGUUGUUACAAUGAAUUUAUAAUUUACAAUGAUUAAUAAUAAGUAAUAUUAGUUACAAACUUACAAAUUAUAAUGAAUCAAUGAUUAAUGAUAAGUUACAUUAAUUACAAACUUAUAAUUUAUUUCAAAUCAAAAUAAAACUUAUUUACUUGAUUUGCAACUCACAUGUAUUUACUUACACUGCUUAGUUAUUUUGUCUAUACUUAAAGCCUUAAGAUAAGUAAAUAGAUAAUAUGAACUUUUAACUUAUUUGAUCACUUAUACCUACAAUCCUUAGUCUAUGAUUUAAGGAACACAUAAAAAGUGAUUAAUUUAAAUUAGAAUAAACCUUAGACUGUACAAUGGUUAGUAAUAAUUUAUGAAUUUAUAAUUUACAAUGAUUAAUAAUAAGUAAUAUUAGUUACAAACUUACAAAUUACAAUGAUUAGUGAUAAGUUAUGUUAGUUACAAACUUAUAAUUUAUUUCAAAUCAAAAUUAAACUUAUUUAUUUACAUAUGUUAUUGUGAAAGUCAAUACACUAAUACAUUGGUUUGCAAUUCAUAUACAUUCACUCACACUGCUUAGUUGUCUUAUCUAUACUUAAGGCCUUAAGAUUAGUGAAUAUGUAAUGUAAAUUUAGAGUACACUAAUACUUGCAAAUUAUAAAUUAUGCAUUUAAAUAUUCAAUAAUUCAAACAUGAAUGAUGUAUCAAAUUACCAAUAUCUAAAUUCUAAUUACUAAUUAUGUUUAUUGUUUAAUAUUUAGUAUUAUACAAAUAUGUAUUAAUUAUUAUCUAAUUCUAGUCAUGUUACUCAUGUGUAAAAUAAUAAGUAUUAUAGUUAUCUUAUAUUGUAAUGUAUUACUAUGCAUUAUUGUAGUCAUAUAACAAUUAAUAAAUACUAAAAUAAUAUAAAUAUAUUGUACAUUAUUAUAUAUUAUUAGUAUUAUAAGUACAUGAUAUGAUGAUAAUACCAUAUACUAAUUAUUAUUAAUAGCAUUUACCUAUAUAAUAUAAUAAAGUAUUAGUAGUAUACACUAAUACUAAUAUAUUAUAUAAUUUUAUAUACCAAUUUGGUAAUUUGAAUGCGAUAAUGCGAUACCCGAUUUCAAUUACCGAAUUUGAAUGCGAAAUCGGUUAUUACCUAAUUCAUAAUCUCAUUACCUAUUUCAUACCAUAUUAGAAUUCGGUGAAUUUGGUACGUACCGAAUUACCAAAUAUCCGAUUUCAAAUUACCGAAUUGAAUUUGAAAUCGGUUAUGAAUUCGGUAAGAACCGAAUUUGCUCACCCCUAGUUUCUGGUCACUGCUACAUGGGCCUAGUAAUUGGGAUAGGUAGAUAAGGAGGUGAAAUCUCAUUUCUGUCCUCAAUUCAAUUCACCAAUUCAAUCAAUUGCAGGAUGACUACCAUCAAUUGACCAAUAAGAAUGUGCCACAUCAGCAAUUGAAACUCAAUUGAAACAUCUUGCAUUUGCGCGUAGACUGGAUAUGUUAAUAAAACUAUAGAGUAGUAUUUAUUUACUGUUUAUUUCUUUAUUUUUGAGCAAGGGAAAUGCUUAUAACUUUUUUUUUUUUGGAAAAGGGAGAUUAGGGAAAUGCUUUUAACUUGUUUUUUUUUUUUUAAGUGAAAAGUCCGUUGAAUAAAUCAAACUUCGUCCUUUUGGAUUGACCUUUUUUCAAAAACAAAUUUUUCAAAUACAAUACUACAGUAAUAUAUAAUAACUCCAAAAGCAUUUCAUUCAUAUAAUAUAUCAAAUAUUUUAAAAAGUUCUCAUAGUAAAAAUUUUUUAUAUACAUUACUAUAGUAAAAUUUUUCAAAAGCACCCCUAAAAAUAACUAUUCCAAACGGUUGGAAUCAACUAUUUUUUGGAUUGUUUUUAAAAUAUUUUACUUUAAUAGUGUAUAUGAAAAUUUUUUUACUUUAGAUAUUUUUUGGUGGUAUUUUUAAAAUAUAUUUUGAAGUUUUUAAAAGUUUAAAAUUUUGUGUGAUAUUUUUUUUAAAUUACCAACACCAUCCCCUCUCUCUCUUUCUUCCUCCUCAUCCCUUGCUCUUCCAUCAUCCUCCUCCCAUUCUUCAUUUUUCUUCCUUUAUUUAUCCAUUUUCGCACCACUGGUCACCCCUUCCCUUCCCCCCUCCUCAUAUCUGGUCGAGAUCGAUCGAGACCUCUGGUCACGACAAUGUGACCAGAUUAUAGCCUAUGGUCGAGGCCAGAUCUAGGAAGGAAGAGGAGAGGUGAGAUGUGGCAGGAAAAAGGAGAAUGGGAAGAGGAAGAGGGAGGGAAAAAAAAGAGAAGAAAGGGGAAAAUGGUAGCGAUAGUGAGUAGGAAUAGUGGUGGUGGAUAGUAGUGAUAGAUAGAAAAAAAAAGUGUAAAGUUUAUUUUUAUUUUUUUAUAUAUUUGAAGUUAUUUUUGAUAUAUUGUAUAGAUAUGUUGUGUUUGAAAUUAUUUUUUAUUUGCGGAUAUACUGUAAUUUUAUAUAUAAAAAUUUUGUUUUUCAAAAUAUAAGAAAUCAAAACGAAAGGUUGCCUUUUAUUGUUAUAUUGUUAUUGCUCCGUUUCCAUUUUUUUUUUCAUUUGUUACUACUUGAAUCAAAAUCAUGAAAUGGACUUAUUUAUAAGGAUAAUUAUAAUUGAUCUCCUAACGGAUACCUUAAUUAUCUAUUUAUUCCUUAACUUUUAUUUGUAUUAGUUAACUCUUUGCAUGAUCAAACUAUCCCUCUAUUAUGUUUAUUUUUUCUUUUUUUUUCCAAAAUAUUUUUCUGCUUUCAAUUCCUUGUUUAAAAAAAAAAAAAUUCCUUUGUCCAUCUGUUUUCUUUUUCAAAAUGUUUUUGUAAACGAAUUGAAUUUUUAUUCUAUUAUUUUUAAAUUAUAGAGUUUCUAAACUAACGUGUGUCUCUUUUAUUUAUUACUAUAAUCCAUGCUACACAAAAAGGUUUGGAUAUGAUUAUCUGAUUUACAAUAUAUAUAUGUAUAUAUAUAUAUAUUCUUUCAUUAUAAAUUAGUUUCAUGUGUUUUUUAAUCUAAAAAAUUUUAUUCCAUAUCCUUAUAAUUAGAUAAUUGAAUAUAAAGUACUCAUUUUUUACAAUCACGUUCAUAUGUUAUCUGGAGACAUUUAUGUUGCUUUUCCCUCUAAUACUUUUGUGUAUUAGAUUAAUUUCUUUACCACUUUUUAUAAGUAUUCAAAAAUUUAGUAUAUUUUCUAUAAAUCUACUUCUCUGUUGUGAUUGUAGACAAAGAAAAUUUCAGUGAUACUUUAUCACCAUGAAUUAGAGUGGUCAAAGUUAGCUCAUAGGUUAAAAUUGAUUAGGAAAAGAAUGAAGGAAAAAAAAAAAGAAAAGAAAAUUAAGAACUAAACAUCUCGCAGGCUCCAGCGACCAAUAAGAAAGAAAAAAGGGAAGAAAAGUGAGAAUCAUUAGUGUAAUGUAAGGAGAUUAAUGGUUAGGUAACCCUUGCUUAUGUUCGUAUUUAUUUAUUUAUAGUUACCUCCACUUCUUCCAACAGGCAGAGUGAGAUUCUUCGGAACCUCACCUUCCCUCACCACUGACCAUUCCUUUCCCACCAAAAAAUUUUUGUCAGCAACAUAACACUAUGACGCUAGCCCUGCUCAGUCUACAGGCUUCGGAUUUCCAGUUUUAAGCAGAAAAAUCUUUAGGCCUUCAGUUGGAACUUUUCUUCAUAUAAGAAGGCUCACGCACUUGAAUGCUCUGUUACCUUACCACCAUAUCUCAGGUUUUCCUAUCUGGUUGUUUUGUCUGCCGAACUUGGGGUUUUUGUUGGAGCAACAAGAAGAAUAAUGGGUCGAAGGAAGCAAUUUCGACCACGUCGAGCGGUAGGGUUGCAGCAGGGACAAACCUCCCAAGCAGCAGAAUUGGAUGACGUCACUGAAACUACUGGUAUUAAACCUGAGGAGCAGGACGAAUUGAUCGAUAUCGGUGUUGACAAGCCAUAUUUUGUUCAAGUGGAUACUAGGGCUAGUUGGGAUACGGCCAGCCAGCAUUUUGAUAUUUCAGAAAUUGUUUUAUCAAAUUUGGAAUUAAAUCGAGAAUUCUACGGGUCUGCUUUGAACGAGGAAGAAUUUUAUGGAGAUUCUUCGAGGUUUUUGUUGAGAUUUAGUUUGCGCAAUGUAGAUGGGUAUCUUAAUCGAAUGAAAUUGGGGCAUUGGCCUGAAUUAUCUGCCUCUAGCAUUUAUUUACAAUUUGUGGUGAGACGUGCGACCGAGGGAAUGGAGAGCAAUGCUGUCAUGGUGUCCGGGAAUUUUGACGGCCCAGAUGAGGCUGUUUCGGGUCUUGUUCAUUUAGUUAGCUUGAAUUUCUUGACUUUGAGGCCUAUUUUGAAGUUUACAUUAUCGGAAGAUUUGCAGUCUGUGAGGAUGAGGGUUGAGAUUCUGAGAAGGGCAUUCGAUGCUUGUGAUUCACUUCUUGAUACUACGAGGCAACUUUGGAAGAAGAGUAUGAUGAAUGUCAUGGCUUGGCUGCGUCCUGAGGUCUUGACUUCUGAGGCUAGAUAUGGAUUUAGUCCUGCACCAAGUGGGAAGAGCAUUGAUUCAAAUGCAGAUGCAGGAGAUAACUCCGCUUCUUCAAGAAAGAAUCCAACACGUUUUGAUGUUGCCGGUUUUUAUGAAGCUAUUAAGCCAUCAAAGUGAGUAACGAUUGUAAAUUUUUGAACUUUACAAGUAUAUCUAAUUACUACAUUUUUUCAGGUGUCUGAAAGUUAUGGAACUUUAUGUGUAAUUAACGCCUGAUUUGCACAAAUGGUUUGCUAUAGGGAGGAACCUAUGCUGGAUGUUCAAUUGCCUAACUUGCUUCCCGAACUUAGACCGUACCAAUGUCGUGCAGCUCACUGGAUGAUUCAGCGUGAGAAAGGAGUUUCUGAUUGUUCUGGGAGUGGAAAAGAUCAGUUUGUUAACCCCCUUUGUAUGCCUUUGAAUCUAAUCGAAGCAUCUGCAACAUUGUACUACAAUCCGUUUUGGUAUACUUCUUUCUCUACUUCAUCACAUGCAAAUACACGUGUAUUUAUUCAAGGAAUUAUCAACUGUUUGUGGUUGAAUACAACAUUAUGCAUAUGACAGAGAAUGACAGUGGUCAAGAAUCAAUUCAAAAAUUCUUCAGGAAUUAGACCAAAAAGUAGACUGCACUUGAAAAUCUGCAGACGUCAUGAUAUCUAUAGAAAACUCUUAUAUAUCUCUGUCUUGCUGUGUUUUGGCUCUUCAGUCAUGAAAUUCAAUUAUUGUGAUGUUUUGUUAAUUGGUUUUGUUUCAGUGGAAACAUCUCCUUGCGUCCAGAGUAUCUGUCUUCUUAUGUUUCUGGCGGUAUUCUCGCUGGUAUGUCACUUUCUUUGUCAUUUGUACAAAUAAACGUCUUUUUUUUUUUCCUUUCCCUUUUGGUUGGCAUCAUUAUUUUCCAUUUUGGUUGGCAUUAUUAUUUUUGUAAAACAUGUAAUGGAUUCAUAAUAUAGAACAGGGACUCUUUUUCGCUAAAUUCUCCUGCUUUUCGUUGCUCUAGUUGUGACAACAUAACUUUUAUUUUGAAUAUAAAGAUGAGAUAGACUAAUGUGGUUUUGGCUGCUUGUACUACAUUUAAUCACCAAAUUGCAGAUGAGAUGGGCCUGGGGAAAACUGUUGAGCUGCUUUCUUGUGUCUUUGCUCACCGCAUGUUGUCAUCUGAGGUUUUGGGUUUGCCACAUAGUGUAAUGCAAGAUGAUGGACAGAAAAGAAUCAAUCUCCGACGACUGAAAAGGGAGCGGGUUGAAUGCAUAUGUGGUGCUUUGACUGAAAGCAUUAAGUACAAAGGAUUGUGGGUGCAGUGUGAUGUGUGUGAUGCUUGGCAACAUGCUAAUUGUGUAGGUUUUUCUGCUAAAAGGAAAAUGCCAGUAUCCACAAAUACUUCAGAAGAACAAGAAUUUAGCAAACAUUCAACUGGAAACUACCAAAAGUUUAGUAGAAGGAAACACAACACCAAGAUAGUUGUCAUGGAAGGAGUUCAUAUUUGCAGUCUUUGUUCAGAAUUGAUCCAAGCUACUGAAUCUCCAGUAUCCACAGGGGCAACUCUUAUAGUAUGUCCUACACCCAUAUUGUCCCAGUGGCAUGCUGAAAUAAUUCGGUAUUUUUCAUAUCUUAUGUUUUCUUGUCCCAUGGUUUUGCUUAAGUAAACAACAUUUUCUUCACGAAUUUUCUUAUUGUUUUUGUGGGGUGGGGAUUUGGGGACUGAGGGGAAGUGUCUGGAGGUUGGAGGCUGGAUAAGGGUGCUUUUUGCUUGUUAGAGGCAUUCAUCUGGGAAAGCCCCUGAAGGGGCAAGACUUAUGCAGCAGCACAUUGUCAGUAGGAGGGCUUCUGUUCAUUCAGUUGCCUUCUAGGACAUUAUACUGCAGGAAAAGAAAAUAAUUUGCACUGCGUACACAGAUAUGUGCAAGUCAACAAGAUCUUCACUAAGAAAAUAGCUACUCUUGUUAGUUGGUCAUCAGAUAGGAAGAAAAAUUACAAUUUUAUCUAUCAUGCGGCUUUCUAAGACUUUAAUUUGGAAGAGGUUUUGCCAUUUAUGUCGAUUUAAUUGUGGUCUUAAGUUUUCUGAUUCCCAAUUGUGGCAAACAUGUUAGGAAUGCAAGACAAGGAAACAGUAUAUUAUGCUUGCAAACAACAAAAUUGUGCACAUGCAUUGUACUGGUUGUAAUUGACUUGCUUUCUAAUAUGAACCUCUUAGGCAUAGAUUGUUCUAGGAUGUAGUAUUAUCAUAUGGGCUGGGAUCUGCCUAAUGUAACUUCUAGCAAGGACAAAAAGAGAGUCUUUCUUUGUAGCAACUUUCUCAAAAAUAGGAAUUUCUUUUGCUUCAACUUGUCUUCCAUAGUAACGCAUGCUCAUCAUGUAAGCUGUUUGCUUAGUGAAAUAUCUUUUUUUUUGCUGAUGUAUAAUUCCAAAACAUUCAUUUUCUUCCUCUUUCCUCUUCCUUCCUCUCUAACAUUUGUUUACAUGUUUUACACCACAGUCACACGACUCCUGGUUCCCUUAAAAUUUGUCUUUACGAUGGUGUUAAGGACACUUCGUGUUCAGAUACACCUGCCGUGGACAUAAAUGAGCUUGUGAAUGCUGAUAUUGUCUUGACAACCUAUGAUGUACUUAAGGAGGACUUAUCGCACGACUCCGAUAGGCAUGAAGGUGAUCGUCGCUCUAUGAGAUUUGAGAAGAGGUAGCACUAGACUUUCGGUUUUCAUGUUUUAUUAGAAGUAUCUAGAGUGAAGUCAUCUUGAAAUGGAAAUUGUUCUCACUAAAUGUUUGUUGCUGGUUGUUGACCUUAAUUUUUGAUAUUUAUUUCUCUUAUGGGCCCCUUGGGUUUUUGUUUCUAUAGUGAAGUUUCUUGUGCUUUUCUUGUUUGCCCAAAAGAAGCUCUCAUGAUUAAGCAAAUUUAUUGUCAAAUUUAUCUGCUUUUUGGCCCACAUGAUUAUCUCUACAAAUUAUUAUUCUGUUCAGCUUCAAAGAUCUUGUGAGUUUUGAAUAGCAUUAUUGCAAUAUUCACUUCUCUCUCUGUCUCUUGCUGACUGAUUUUUUAGGAACCAUUUUUCAUUUUUAAGUCAACUUCUGGACUGAUAUAAAAGAUAGCACCACUUUGUCUGCGCAAAAAUGUGUGCAUGAGUCUUGCCUGAUAGUAUUCCCAACUUAUUGGACAUUGAAAUUCAAGUGAGAAUUGACCCAGUGGACGUAAACUGAAAGAACUACAUUUGGUUUGCUUCUGCAACUUUUAAUAAAGGAGGAAUGGAUUCUUACUGGGGAAAAGUGUUUCAUCAUAUGAUCAACGGUUUCAAAUUAAAUAGCAAGGGGACUAAUCUAUUCCACUUAUGGUUCUGUAGUUUGAGGUUCUGUAUAUAAUAGCAACACCAGGAUUUUUUUGGAUUUGUUCUUGUUUUCCUAUGAUGAAAAGGGCAACUUUGCUAUAUGUCUGCACCCAAAGAUGCAUUUCUGAGAACAUGAUUCAUGAUGUUCUUUCUCCAACUCCAGUAGUUGAAGUUGGAAGAACUUUAUGGCAUAAUCUGUCUUCCUGUUUAAGAAUAAUUUAGGACAACCAAAAUUCACCCCAAGUCAAUGUGUCCCAUAUAGAGGGGGACCUCAGCAUUCUCUUGAAGCUAUGAGAAAAGUUGAUCUCUGUCAUGACUUGAAAGAAAAUUUGAAGUUCCUCUUUUGUGGGUUUGGUUGCUUAAUAAACAAGAGCAGGGUAGAUGUGAAGACUUAUGCACUUAUUGCAUUUAAUUCCACUUGAGAAAUGAAUCUCUUAGAUUUUUGUUUAACCAUGUUCGUACAUCUAAUUGAAUGAAGAGCACACAUUUUUUUGGACAUUGUUCAAGACCCUCAACCAUGUCACCUAGUUUUUAGUUUUUAGUUCGAUGUUGUGAAACAGGGCUCAGAUGUUGUGGCAGCUUCAUAUGUUAGGUCUGAUUAAAUCUAAGGUCUCAAGGAUUUUAACAAACACAGAAAACUAGAGUAUAAAGAAUUUCACUGUGUAGUUCUGGAGCAAAAGGUUAACUGCGUCCAAGCUGGCAGAAUGUCAGUUUUGGAUUAAAUUUCAUGCCUGAAAUUCUCCUAGAAGCUGAAACAAGUGAAAAGAGUACUCUAUAGGUUAUUCUUGAAUCUCUGAUGGGUCACAGCUGAAUCUCUACGGUUUCAUGUUUAGGCUUUGGGAGACACUAGUUUAAGCAUGCCUUCAUCAAUUGAUUUCUGAAACAGUUUCAUAUUGAUUGCAGGAAGACUAUGGAUGCUUCCUGUGUUGCUGAGUUCUCUAUAAUCUAUUGGUGACUAAGGUAUAACAAGUUGGUAAUCUUGCUAAACCAUAAUUGACAAUUUUUUGAUACAAUAGGAGACUUAGUACAACAAAUUAUAGGAGGAAAAUGUCCAAACUUUAUUGCAUUAGUGGAUAGAGUAACUUGUAUGAGGAAAAUUUGCUUCCCCUGGGUUUGGUUGACUUAAGUUUCCCUUUUUUCCCUUCGCUCAGGGUUCCCCUGCAGGAGGGGGAUGGGUUCCGUAUAACCAGACCCAAAAAUCACAUCUUGUGUUUACAUGGUUCAUAAGACACCCCUCUAUUAGAACUCUUAUCUGUAUGUUUUCUCUUUUGCAUUUAAGUAAUUAAGCACUUGGCAAUAUAUGCACCUAUUUAGAUAGUAAGAGAAGUUAUUUCCUUUCUGAAAUUCUCAAGAUUACAUCUGGCAGUCAUAUGCAUGUUAAUGCCGAUGAUUGCUGAUUUUUCAUGUUCUUCUCUGCAUGAGUAUUCGUUUACAUGUUAAUUGCUGAGGGCUCUAUCAUAUGUUUGGAGGUUCAGAAAAUAAUCUCCCAGGAAGAGAUGUUUUGAACAUCUCUACGAUUCAAUGAUGUAUCAUUAGCAUUUGCAUUGAGAAAGGAGCAGCGAAGUAUCUGGAUAAUUGCAAUUGUGAUUUAUUGCCGGGAUAAACCCCAAAAUGCAUGGGUAACAUCUGAAAGAGAUUACAGUAAUAACUCAGGAUUGCAACAAUCAAAUAUGGCUUGCAAUAUUUACUAAUUACUACCUUUUCCAGAAGUCUUUGAAGGUCUAACCAUUGAAUUAUUCAUGUGGACAAACGGAAACCCCUUUGCUCAGAUUGCAAGUCCAAAAUUUUUGCCAGACUCAACUAUGGCUUAGUCAUUCUACAAGUUUCAAGUAUCUAUUGAUCUUGUUAUCUUUGGGUUAUUUAAGUCGUGCUUCAUGGAUCUACAGUUUUAUCUCAAGGAUAUCAUUUUAUAUCAAAUUUUUUUGCAAAAUUAUUGGAAACCUUAUUUUACUGCAUAUUCUUGCAUUUAUAUUACAAACAAAGAUUGAAAUAUUUUUCAUUUCCUUGGUUUUCAAAACUGCAGAUACCCAGUUGUCCCAACUCUCCUGACUAGAAUACUAUGGUGGAGAGUAUGUUUGGAUGAAGCUCAGAUGGUCGAGAGUAAUGCUGCUGCAGCAACAGAAAUGGCACUAAGGCUACAUGCCAAGCACCGGUGGUGUAUUACAGGGACUCCCAUACAGAGAAAGCUUGAUGACUUAUACGGGCUUUUGAAAUUCCUCAGAGCAUGCCCUUUUGAUGUUUUUAGGUGGUGGGCUGAAGUCAUACGUGAUCCCUAUGAGGUAUAUCAGCGCCUCUGCUGUAGUCGCCUCUGCUGUAGUGAAUUUAAAUCUUUCACCUACGACUUUUAAGAAACUUGCAAUCUUUAGAUUCUGGCAAAGAUUCCGGCUUUACAAUCUUGGAAAGUUGCUGAUGUGCUGAAUACCAUAUUUUUUCUUCUUUCAUCUUCUUAGAGACAAAAGAGACAUAAAAAGGGAAAAAUGGUGUUUUCUUAUAACAAUUCUUAGGAUCUUCUAGUAAAUCUAAUGAGGAUAUAACAUAUUGAGUCUUUUUUAUAUAUCUAUUUUUUUAUAAGGGAGACGUAGUGAUGUUUUGGUUCAUUGAAACUGUGAUUUAAUCUCCCAUAUACGGAUAUACCUUAAGUUUCUCAGUUAACCCUUACAUUAUCAGUUCUAAUUGUUGACCGCAAAUGUCCGUACUCAUUCAUGCAGAAUUAGUAGUCAUGUUCUCCUUCCCUUUCCUCUUAUGUGAGAGGUUCUCAAUUUGCAGGCAGGGGAUGCAGGAGCUAUGAUGUUUGCACACAGUUUUUUGACAAAGAUAAUGUGGCGCUCUUCAAAAGUGCGUGUUGCAGAAGAGCUACAUAUUCCUCCCCAGGAAGAAUCAGUAUCUUGGCUCACUCUUUCACCAAUUGAGGAGCAUUUUUACCAGAGGCAGCAUGAGACUUGUUUAAAAGAUGCCCAUGAGGUGAUUAGAAAUUUGAAGAAUGACGUUGUCAAGAGAAAAACACCAGGUACUUAUGGUCUCUUCCACUCUUUCAAUUGUAAUUCAUUAAAAAAAAAAACUAUAUUACAUAUUUUGAUGCCCUUGCAUAGGUUCCAAAACCUCUGAUAGUUUAUCUGAUGAGUUCAUUACGCAUGUGGAGGCUGCGAAGAUGUUUAACUCACUCUUGAAGCUUCGACAAGCUUGCUGCCAUCCUCAAGUGGGAAGUUCUGGUCUACGUUCUUUGCAACAAUCUCCCAUGACCAUGGAGGAGAUACUGUUGGUAGGUUUAGCUUAUGGUUCAACAUACUAUUGUAUCUUUCAUAAGUUUUAGCCAGAAAAUUUCAAAUGUUAAAGCAGAUUUGUAUGUUUGGGUUCUAUGUAGGCUCUUGUAGGUAAAACAAAGAUAGAAGGAGAGGAAGCUUUGAGAAAAUUAGUCUCUGCAAUAAAUGGACUUGCAGGUAUAGCUGUACUUAAGCAAGAUUUUGCACAAGCAGUUUCAUUGUAUAAGGAAGCACUUGCUUUAGCUGAAGAAAACUUGGAAGAUUUUCGCUUGGACCCUUUGUUGAACAUCCAUAUUCAUCAUAAUCUCGCUGAGAUACUCCUGUUGUCAUCAGACAAUAAUAAACAAUCACAGAAUGUCCAUGGAAGCUUUAAAGAAGAUGUAUCCAUGGUAUGUGAUCUUGAAGAGAGUGAUCAACGUGCUGUAAAAAGGGCAAAAAUUGAUGCUGGAAACUCUAAUAUGGUCAUUGACUCUGAGAAAUUACCUGAGCAACCAUGUUAUGCUGAGGCAAAUGGUUCCAGUCAGAAAGCAUUCAUUGUUGAUCCACAUGCUUCAUCUCAAUCAACAAGUGAUCAAUUUUUCAGAACAGUAUGUGAGAAUUUAAAGCAGAAAUACUUAUCUCUCUUCUAUUCAAAAUUGUCCAUAGCUCAACAAGAGUUCUGGAAGUCAUAUGAACAGGUAUGUUUGUUCCAGUGAGAAAUCAUUUUGCGAAUUAUUUCUUUGCGAGUGCAAGGAGAUGAAAUGGUGGUUUUGUGUGUGGACCAGUUCUUCAUGGAUUGGUCUAAAGAGAAAUUUGUCAAUGGCUGACCAUCAGUUGCUAUCUUUUUGUUCUUAUUGAAGGUUUCUAUUGAGUUUAGCAACAGGAAAAGCCAGCACAUGACUUGGUGGUUAGAUGCCCUGCAUCAUCUCGAGCAAAACAAGGACACAUCAAGUGAGUUGAUCAGGAAAAUAGGGGAAGCUCUCUCUGUUACUCUGAGUACUUCACGUACAUCAAGAAUUGCAUCCUGGUUCGUUUACUCAGGAAUAAAUUCCUGUUUUAAUGUUUUUUAAUAGUUUGCUCAGAUUAUUUUUGGACUGCUAGUCACUUUUGCUUCUUUAAUGCAGCUUUGGUAGCAUAACAAGCCUAAAAUAUUACAUUCAGACUGGUCUGGAUUCAUUGGAAGAGUGUAGGAAAAACGUACUUGAUAGACUUUUGGAGAUUGACUACACAAUGGAAAAUCCAAGCGAGGCAGAUAUUGAUCGUGUAAGGCACUGUCCAAACUGUCAAGAUAAUGAUCAUGGUCCUCUCUGUGUCCACUGUGAGCUGGACGAUUUGUUUCAGGUGUUGUAGUUAAGUUCUAUUUAGCUUGAUUCUUUAUCAACUUAGCUAAAGGUUGGGGAUUGCAUUUGAUAUUUUAUUAUAUUAUGCAUUUUCUAUAGGUUUAUGAGGCCAGGCUUUUCCGUACAAAUAAAGGAAGGAAUGGUGAGGUGAUAACUUCUGCUGAAGAAGUAGUAGAUUUGCAAAAGAAAAGAUCUGCACUCAAUCACUUUUAUCGCACUUUGUCACAACCUGACCCUAAGUCAGCUUUGACUACUAACAAGUAUGAAGAUGAUGGAAAGAAGAGGGAUGUCAAGGAGAAAGUGAUGGUGAGUCAGAACAUAAUUGUUUCAUAUUUCUAGGUGCCAAUACUCGGAUAUGUUUGUUCUGUUUAUUUAUUCUGUAAUAUUGAGGCAGGUGGUCUUUUCUUUGAUACAAAAUUAUAUGCUUAUAAUAUGAGCCAUAGAUUGAGCAACAGUUGCAGAAUAUCAUGCAUGUGGAGAAAAAUUUAGCACUCACAAUCAUCGUUUUGUUCCAUUCUUUUUUGGUCUUGUCUUUCUAUCAGGAUGUCAAUUUAAUGUUGGCAUAUUAUGCUGAAAAAUAGAUGGGCUCAAAUGACUAGUUUCAACAAAUGGUUCUAAUGAAACUAGAAAGAGUAUCUUCAUCAUUGUUGUUAUAUGCUUACUGGCUUUGGAAAAUUUGUUGUAUGAUCAAAAGAGCCCAGGCGAAGUAUUUAAAAUUUCAUUAGGGUAAUCAGCUUUCCAAGUUUCAGGAUAGCUGAAUGAAAUCAUGAUGUUGCACUUGAAAUCAUCUGGGUUGAUGGGGCCGGGCUGGGGCAUCGUAUGCAUAUGAUUCCACCGUUCACAAAAUAAAAAGAAAAGCCAUUCCAUUUUGAACCAAAGGUUCAGAAAGUGAAAAAAGAUAGGACCGGCAGCUCUUCCAGGGUUUCCUCAUCUGAGAUCCCUGGGGAGGCAGAUCAAGUUGGCCCUUGCCAACAGCUUGCUGCAUUAUCUCCCUUCAACCCUCUGAGCAAAACGCAGCAAAAGAAAAGGAAGGAAAAUCUAUGGACAGAUCCUAUGAAGCUUCACCGGUCCCUGGGAUUGGCUUUGGGCCUUUCCUGUGCAGCUUAGGUGGAAGGUGAAGAAGGCUCCUUCUGGGGGACCUGAGCCAUUAGUGGGAUACCACUCUGCAAGAGCUAGAAUAGAGUGUGAGCUUCUGUCAGUUGCCCAAAGCAGACUUGGUGUCUUAAUGUAGGAGAAGUAUUCUCUCUGUCAUUUUGAUUAUUAAUUCACAGAGGCUACAUUUGCAGUAUGCAGAGUUGGUCACAAAACCAGAAAAUCAUUAAAGUUCAUGAUCAUAAAUGUCGAGGUGGUUAGUAGAGUCUAGGUACUUUGAUGCCUAAACUUCAGUUUUAAUCAAUUCAAAGGUAUGCCUUUUCAAAUUCUAAUAAGGGUUAGAUUAGGAAUUGACCAGUUUAACAUAUGAUAGAUUCUUUUUUAGUGUAAACAGCAGCAAUUAAAGUGACACAGAUGCAUGCAUGCCCGCAUGUCAAACUUCAUUGUGCUGUUUCUUGAAAUUGUUAUCAGUCGUCUAGCUAUUAGUCAGACCACCACAUAUAGAAGUGGGCUGUUAAAGUUAUAUGAGUUUCUAGCUAUUCCUAGCUUGCAGAAUGUAAGUUGAAUUAGCUUCUUUAGGCUAGAGAAAAACUCGAUCAAUUUCUAAGAUUUUCAGUUCUUUACAAUUUGUAAUGACAUUGGAUCACUAGGUUUCAAAAUCUCCCUCUGAUUUGGAGGUGGUGCUUGGGAUUAUCAAGAACAACGCCAAGGGUUUGUUAGAAAGAGAAGGCACAUCAGCAGCUGCUAAGCACCUAUUUCUUCUUGAGGUAUGAGCUAUUUUUGUGGGCACAUUCUGGUUUCUCUUUCAGAGUUUUGUCUAUCUGGGCCAAAGUCCUGAUCAGAGCUGUAGCAUUAGUGUGAUUAUCUCGAGCUCUUAGCUCAUUAUGUGUGAUAUUGUCUUGCUGUUUUUUUAGUUUCUAAACAUGAAUGCAAUGUAGUUAUGUUAGGAGAAACGUAAGAAUGAUAUUUUGUCGCUUACACUCGCCGGGAGGGGGUUUGGGUACUAAAAACUCUAGCUUGCUGGAUUGCAUGAUCUGAAUUUUGGCAUUUAAAUUACCAAAGGGAAUGCGCAAGGAAUAUGCCUAUGCAAGGUCCUUGGCUCGUGCCCAAGCUCAUGUGCUUAGGGCUCAUGAUGAAAUAAAGAUGGCAAGCUCACGAUUGCGACUAAAAGAAGAUGAAAAAGAUAAUUCAGUUGAUGCCUUGGGUCCUGAGGAGUUAGAUGCUGCAAGUACUCAAAAUUCUAGCGAUAAAUUUCUGGCAGUGUCUUCAUUGGCACGUAUCAGAGGACAACUUCGUUAUUUGAAGGUAAUCAGUAAAUUCAUGUUAUGUCUUUAAGCUUUCUGCUUGUUCUGUGAUUUAAUAUUAUUCUGAAUUUAGAUACUAUUAGAGGACAAGAGUAUAUUGCAUUUAUCCACAGAAUAUCAUCAGCUGUAUUGGUAGUGACUAUUUAGGAUUUCCCUUUACAAAGUAAUGACCAUGCUCGUGUAUUUUAAUUUGGAGAUGCAGUUUACAUGUGUAGUUUUCUGAAAGCAUUUAAGAUCUCCAGAGUACCAUUGCUUUCUUAUAGAGGCUCUGUGGUUACCUUAUUGGUCUUAAUGUACAACUAGCAGUUAUUUACCAAGGUUUUAAUAUACAACUACCACUUUCAGCUUGAUCUGAUUCCUAUGGUCAUUUAAAUUGAUCUGAUAUGUUUUUUCUUCUAGCUCAUUUUAUGGCUACUCAAUGUUAUAGCUGCUGUUUUGUUGCACGUAAGUCCAAUUCAUUGAUCAACCUUUGAAGUUCACAUUAGGCAUUACCUCAUGCUGAUGAUUUUUCAUUGGUUAACUUUCUUAGUUCACGUCAGCCACUAUCUCAUGCAUGGCAGAUGAUUUUAAUCCUUCUCAUCCUUAGUCACUUGGGCAAUUUUGUUAGAGAAUUUGGUGGCGAGGCUCAACUUGAACUCACUGGACUUUGCUGUGGGGCUAGUGAGGCAAAAUGCUCAGUUGUAGAUAGGUUUUCUUCACUGCAAUUUUAUUUAUAGCAGUUCUGUCAUACUCAAUUAUUUUUGCUGCCUCCUUGAUUCUUUUCCAGGGUUUGGUGCAAUCUAAACAAAACUUGCAGUCAGAAUGUCCAAAUGAAUCAACUUUAACUGAAUCUGCCAAGGCCUCUGUCGCUUCUGCAACGGAAGAUGAACGAUGCCAAGCUAAAGCUGAUGUGGAAUUUUGCCCAGUUUGUCAAGAGAAGCUCAGAGGCCAAAAGAUGGUAUUCCAAUGUGGGCAUGUUAUUUGUUGUAAAUGUAAGUUUUGUUUCCUGAAAUUUCUGGUGUGGUAGAAUUCUGUGUCAAAACCAUCUUCAUGUUUCCAUGGAUGAAAAUAGCCGAAGUAUUAUUGGCUUUGGUAGUUCUCCCCAUCCGUCCGUCCGUCCACACCCCCCCCCCCCCCCCCCCCCCCCCCCAAAAAAACUGAAAAAAACUCCUUUAUGGGUUGCACAUAUAGCUUUCUUUUCUGAAAAUGCAUGGAUAGCCUCAUGUUAACGAAUAAAAUAUCUUAGUGAUGCAUCUUCCACUUCUGCUUGCAGGUUUAUUUGCAAUCACUGAACAGAGAUUUGUUCACCAUGGAAAUAAGUGGGUAAUGUGCCCAACUUGCCGACAGCAUACUGACUAUGGAAAUAUAGCUUUUGCUGAUGAUAGACAUAAUGCCUCUGAUGCAUCUUCCAUGCUGGCUUGUGCAAACUCUGAAACUUUAACAGUCCAAGGUUCAUACAGUACAAAGGUGGUCUCCCUACUUCUGUGACCAAUAUAAUUGCUUAAGUUUUGAAUUGAAUAAUUAAUCUGCGCUCCAACAAUUUAGCGGCUGUUAGCAAAUUAUGCUUUUCCUGUGUCUACUGUCAUCUGUCAACUUCAAAAUGCUGGUAAUCUUAAAUUAAUCUCUUUUUUCUUUUACCUUGUUUUGGAUGGUUGUUGCAGAUUGAAGCAGUGACAAGGAGAAUUUUAUCCAUCAAAUCCAAAGAUCCAAUAGCAAAGAUUCUUGUUUUUACCAGUUGGAAUGACGUUCUUGAUGUGUUAGAGCAUGCUUUUACAGCCAAUAGUAUCAGCUACAUCCGGAUGAAAGGAGGCAGGUACAAUUUGUCACGGAGAAUUCUGUCAAGUUUUGCCUUUAUCAAUUUGUUAAAAAAAAUCAUCAUGCCACUCUAUUUACAUAUGCUUAAAUGAGUGAAAGUUCGGUUUGUCCUUGAAAUCAUGUUCCUGUAGAGGAAUUUUGUCAGGUCUGUUGAGCAACUUCUAUUUGCAUCCACACAAACAUUAUCUGCAGCGACUCAAAAUCUUUCUCAUUAGAUAGAGAUUUUAACAAGAAAAAUCUUGAUGUUCUGUUUGUGCUAAUUGACUUUGGUCAUUCAAUGACUGAAAUCUCUUUGCUGAUUCUUUUCUCAGAAUUACUGGAAGAAUGGGAUAUUUAGCUGCAUCUCUUUUGUAAUUCGAGAUGGACGGAAGCUGUUUACAAUUUAGUUUGGUCCUGUUGGAAUAUGUUUGGAUGAUUUCUAUGUUUUGAAAACCUUUAAUUUAGGUUUUUGUAUCUGGGAGAUAGAGGUAGAGGUCCUUGUAUCUUAUAGUCAUUUGUCACUCAUCAGAUCUGCUUCCACCACAAAUGACAAUGACUGUGUGCUUGAGUAACCCACUGCUGUUCUUAUUAAAACAUAGAGCAACCAUUGACAACGCAUGGCACCUUUUUGCUUUUCACCUGUGUUUUCUGUAGCUCUUAAGAAUUGUGUCUGAGACUCUUAAUAGUUAGUUGGACAGCUAAUUUUUAUGCUAAGAACACCUGCGACACCAUCAACCAAUGAGUAGUUCCUCCUCUCACCCCCUGAAAACAUCAGAAGGCAUGGCUUUUUCUUUCUCCUGAACACGAAGUAUGUCAAACUAUUUUGACACUCCUGUGUGAUUAAUGCAAAAGCUUUUCCAAAGGAAGUAUCUUUAAAAUCUAGGAGGACUGACAUCUUAUGGUAAUGGCUUUUGAGAAUGAUGUGUCUAGAAGUCUUUUAGCACUGAGGAUCAUUUGUUGCAAAACCUGUAUGUAGCACUAAAUGAACCAAAACUAUUCAAUUUGAUGAUUUUAGCUUAGUAAUCUGCAAAAGACUAAGCAAAACUUGGCUGGUUGAUUUUCUUGUGCUGAAUUAUAUACCUCUCUUUAAUGGCAAAAGUUGGAUACACACUGCUGUACCUGAAAUAAUUGGAAACUGCUUGCUUAUAGUAACUUGGCUUGGAUGUUGUUAUUAUGGUUGCUUCUUAGGUUUAGAAUAUAUAUCAUCUCAGUACAAAGUUCAAGCAUUUUGUGGUGGCUCUGAUCCUACAGGAAAUCACAUGUUGCCAUAAGCCAUUUCAGAGGGCAGAAUAAUGACAUAAAAGGAAGUGGAAAGAGGAAGAAGAACGGGAAACCAGUAGAUGAUUUUGUUCAGGUGUUAUUGCUCCUAGUCCAACAUGGUGCCAAUGGCCUCAAUCUGUUGGAAGCUCAGCAUGUCAUUCUUGUGGAGCCGCUGCUCAACCCUGCAGCAGAAGCACAAGCAAUAGGGAGGGUGCAUCGAAUUGGACAGGAGAACAAGACACUCGUUCAUCGUUUUAUAGUACGUUAUGCCACUUACAAGUUGCUUUCUAUGAAAGUUUACUGAAUUUUGUUAUGCUACCAACUGCAUGAAAAGAAAAGUCAUCCUUCUGUUCCAUGCUAUUUCUACGUGCUCUGUAGGAUACUUGCUAAUCCGUUGCAUAAUUGCUUUCUUUUUCCUUCUUGGACUUGGGUGCUAGGUUAAAGAUACGGUAGAGGAGAGCAUAUACAAACUAAACAAGAGUAGGAAUACAGGUUCUUUCGUGAGUGGAAACCGAAGAAACCAAGAUCAGCCAGUUUUGACCUUGAGAGAUGUGGAGUCCUUGUUCAGAGUAGUUCCAUCUUCAGACAUGGACGAAGAAAAGGCAAAUGGGAGCUUGAUGCACUUACCACCUUCCGUAGCUGCUGCUGUAGCUGCUGAGAGGAGGCUAUUGGAGGGCAGAGCAUGACGUGAGUGAGGCUCUCACUUGCAGGUUAAUAUUCAUGCAACACGUAGCUAGGGGAGGGAGUUGAAAGGGCGUGUAACUGGAACAUAAUUUAUCCUAGAUUGUUCCGGACCAGUGGCCACUAAAAGCUGUUCUCCUGUUGUCUUGUUUAUAAUAGCUCGGAGAGCUUAAAAUUAAAUUAGGUAGUCCAGUGCGGACAAUGCGAGCUUGUUGCUGUUAGUCAGUCCUCUCUAGAAUUUUUUACCGACUUCACUGAUUCUUGUGUAUAUUUAGUGUCUGGGAAGGUGAAAUUGAUGAAAAGAAUUUUGUACAGCCUCGUGAUUGAUGAUUAGUGGGAAAAACAAAUGUAAUGUGGUGUUAUUUGAAGCGUAUUUGGAGGAGCAUGUAAUCCUGUUUUAUUGAUUAAUAUUACCUUUAUUUGUCCGAUAUUGUUAAUGAUUUUUUUUUUAUCAUCUGACGGUAUGCACAACUUACGUUGCAGAUUGAACGUGUCGAGUGUCAAAAACAAUACCAAUGGGAAAUAUUUCAGUCUGUGGAAUCGUGAUAGUACUAAUAUCUAAAGAUUUAAAGCCAAUUAAAUUAGGUGAACAAUGGGUGAGGACGGAAAUAAUGAAGCAAACAAAGUCCCAUUCCAAGAAGAUUUGUCCCAGUUACAUCUUCAAAGGGUCGACCGUAACGUAAGUUCCUUUUUUUUUUUUGGUUUUUGGGGGGGGGGGGGGGGGGUCCUGAGCUAAGUGAACAAGAAAAAAAUUGAAAAAAAAUCGUACCUCUGCAUACAAAAAAAAAAAAAAUCAUACCUCGACAUACAACUAGGGGUGUGCAAAAUCAAAAAAUUUCGAUUUGAAUUCGGAAUUUCAAAUUCAGUAAUUCGAAAUGGAAAUCGAAAUAUCCGAUUUUGAAUUGGUCGAAUUCGGUAAUGAGAAUUUUCAAAUCGGAAAUUUCAAUUUCGAAUUCACAAUUCGAAAUCGAAAUUCGGGAUUCCUAUUUCAAUUUUAAAUCUAUUAUUCGUAUAUAUAUAAUAUAUUAUAUAACAUUUAUAUUAUAAUAAUAAUUUUUUUAUUCAUGAAUUCGGUGAAAUCAGGAUUCCUAUUUCGAUUUCAAUUUCGUUUUCACACACAUAUAUAAUAUUUUUUUUAUAUAUAUGUAAUAUAAUAUUUAUAUAAUAAUAAUUUUUAUAUUCAUGAAUUCGGUAAAAUCGAAAUUUAUCGAAUUUCGAAUUGAAUUCGAAACGAAUUCGGAAUUGAUGAAUUCGAAAUCGAAAUCGGUCGAAAAUUCUGAUACCAAAAUUUCAAAAAAUUCCGAUUUCAAAGUUCCGAAUUACCGAUUUCGAUUUUGAUUCACACCCCUACAUAUAACUCAUAAGAUUUGGCACACGCCAGGGAUGGACAGGGAUGAUUAAUGGCCAUGAUUUGGUCAAAUAUAUAUAUAUAUAUAUAUAUAUAUAUAUAUAUAUAUAUAUAUAUAUAUAUAAGGCUCCAAUCACAUCACAUUUUGUACGUCGAUCUUAGCAUCACAUGUAAAACUCAUAAAAUUUUGUUAUACAAUUACAAUUUUUUGAAAGUAAAUCACCUCUAGAACAAAUGAGACCACACCUUGUUAAAUCUAAAAUAAAAAAUCGUGAUUUUGUUUGGAUAAGAGUUUAUUUAGAUUAUUUAUUUGAGAUAAUUAUUAUAGCACUUUUUGUGUGUUGUGUGACGCGAUAUGUGCGAGAUGAAAAGAUAAUUAGGAAUAGUCCGCGCGGCACCCAAUCCAAAUUGCAGCAGAGCAGAGCAGACCAGGCCAGACCAAACUCAGCAAGAACCCAGAAUCCGGGAUCCGAUUGAUUGAUUUAGCCACCGCUCCGCUAUUCUCAUGGAUGAUGUCACCAGACCAGCAAUUUGCAUACGCAAAUCUCAAUCUGGACAGCAUCGCAACGUGUUGGGCCGCUCCUGGGAGCGCGUGCCAAUCUCGUCCUUGUUUUCCGAGCCACUGGAUUCUAUCCUCACGUGUCACAAACCCCACAUCCCGACCUAACCGUAUAUGUAAGUCCGGGCCUUCCUGCUUCCAAUCUAAAGGCGGCCACUUUGCCAGCGCAACAAUGACAGCCUUUACCUCCCACGUUGUCAAAGUCCACGAUCUUUGUUCACCUUUGCUGAUGCCGACGACGAGAUCCAAAUACACGGUUUCUUCGGGUUUAACAUCAGCCGCGUGGUCUCAGCCUCAUGGGGGGAGGUUGAGAUUAGAGCAACCAUGGCCAAAUAGGCAGCUAGAGAAGGUGGUCGAGUGUGCCAAAGGGGGUUCAGCUUCAGCUUCGGCGUCGGAAUGGGGAGAUGAAAUCGUAACAGAAGAAGAAUUGAUGGGUCUGGGGAAGUUGGGAGGCAAGUGCGAAGAGACCAGAGGAAUUGCAGAGUUGUUGGAGUGCUUGGAAAGAGAAGCAAUCAUGGGGGAGGAUGAAGGUAAAGAGCCCACUGAUUACAAUCGAAGGGCUCAGAUUUUUCACAAGAGUUCUAGGGUUUUCCAGUCGCUUAAAGAAAGCAGCACCCCUCUUCCCUAGUUGUUCUUUUGAUUUCUGGGGAAGGUAGCGGUACCCGACCAGGGCCUAUAACUGGACGUCGAGUGUUAACUGUCUAAGCUAGUGUUUUAACUUUUUUAAUCCUACAGUUUUUGUGUAAUUGUAUAUCACAAAUCAUCAUCAAUCAACACAUGUUGAUUUUUUAUUUUUUAUUUUUUAACCCGCCUGAUGAGAUCAAUCUCAUGGUAUCAAAUUUAUAUUGGAAAAUAGUAAUUCGAUGGAAUACGUUUUAUUAGAAGCACGGAUUCCGUUCGAGAUUCUAUUAUUAACAGAAUAUAUCGAUUAGAGCCACUUAAAUUUUUUGUUUCUGACGAGAGACGCCGCAAAAUCUCAUGUUGAACUAAAUGUUCGUUCGUUAGUUAGUUAGUCUGAGAGCACCAAAGUCCACAAAUAUCAGAUUUGAGGAAUUUGCUGCCAAAUGACUGUAUUGGUGCCAGAGCUGUGAUCAGAAGCUAAUCUGAGAGCACCAAAGUCGACAAAUGUUAGAUUGCUGCCAACUGACCGCAUCCGCGCCAGGGUUGCGACAAAUAUUAGAUUGAAGCAUUUGGUCCUUUGCCCCUAAAUGAGUCUGCAUUAAUGCAUAGUUCAGGUCCUCUUGAUACGACCCUUGGCUUUUAUUAUGCCCUUCCGAUCACCUAAAGGUAACCAGAGCCAGGUUAAUGACAGAGAAUGAUUGACAAAUCAAAACAAUUGAAACAUAAGACAGAUGCAAACAGUCGAACAUCCAAUGACAUCUUUAGUACAACAAAUUAAGCUUAACGAGCCCAUGCACGGAAUGAAUGACUCUUCCUGACGGCCGGACUAGGUAACGACUAAAUCUUAUCAAGAGCCUGGUCACCUACCUACCUGAUGCCAAUAAAUAACAAAUGCCUAACAGAAUUUCCAGUGGUUAUUGCAGUUCACACACGUUACAAAUGUAGUCAUAGGUUCAUC